Culex quinquefasciatus (southern house mosquito) is the source of this 910-nucleotide long non-coding RNA. RefSeq lists it as uncharacterized. The record is from RefSeq and is a predicted model, not a curated record. Lineage: Eukaryota; Metazoa; Arthropoda; Insecta; Diptera; Culicidae. The transcript has 4 exons.
CUCUCAAAGUAGACGAUUUGGUGCUGAUCGUUAACGAAGGACAAAGGAAUGGUUGGACAAGAGGACGAGUACUGACGGUGAUCCCCGGCCGCGACGGCCGCAUUCGACAGGCGACAGUGCAAACGGCGGCAGGGAUACUGAAACGACCAGUAGCUAAAUUGGCAGUGCUGAACGUCCAGGACAGCUGUAACGCAACAGUACCAGCGGAACCGGAAAGGCGUUACGGGUCGGGGGAUGUGGACGGAAGCAACAUCAUCGACGGUACAACAUCGCGUGAGGGUCCCUCGUCAAACAGCAAACACAUCUACACCACCGGGGUAGCUGAGCGAAGUCUACGUCGAUCGGGCCGUCUAGCUAGUGCCAACCAGAAGAAGAGGAAGAAUUAAGCGAAACCAGUAGGGAUUGUACGCAGUGCGAUUUGCAGAACGCCACCUUUUUGUUUAAAACGACUUAAACAUAACAAUUAGUAGUUUUAAAACAUUGCGCUGAACGAUACUCCGUGUACGACCGAAGCGAGUGGUUCUAGACCGUGGUCGCGAGAACCACACAGCUACUUCGGUUCCGAGCAGAACCUGGCAAGUGUCCAAACGGCCAAGGAGGCCAAAAAGAUCCCCAGAACACGCGUAAGCAAUUAGGCUGGGCAAAACUGGUCGUCAUCGAACAUCGUUGUCGUGUUUAAUGAGCAAUCGGAUUGAGGGAAAACUAAUUCUUUGAGCUGCGCUACACAAAACAGCUGCUGCAAAGAGUUUCACCCAAAUCUACAACGUGGUAAGGAUUGAACAGCAACGAUAGCUUUAUGCGACGACUCGAUGCGCAGGAUUCAGUUUGUUCUAGAUUUUGUUUAACUGAACUGAUUUGUCUUUAUCAAUUUUAGCUGGAUGAAGGCUCUGAACAUUUUUUUAUUUUUUUU